This 1514-nucleotide long non-coding RNA is filed under the name Gallus gallus (chicken). Its description in RNAcentral is "lncRNA (ENSGALG00010014172.1)". Lineage: Eukaryota; Metazoa; Chordata; Aves; Galliformes; Phasianidae. The record is from RNAcentral.
GUAGUAAAUGUUGCCAAAAAGGCAGAACCACAGACUGACUGACAUCAAAAGGGACCUCUCUGGACUAUGGGGGCUAUAAGAAAGAGGGGGACAGGCUUUUCAGCAGAGUCUGCUGUGACAGGACAAGGGGAAAUGAUUUCAAACUAAAAGAGGGGAGGCUUAACUGGAUAUAAAGAAAAAGUUUUUUAUGAUAAGUGUGGUGAGGCACUAGAUUGAACAAUAUACCCAGAGAAGUGGUGGAAGCCCCAUCCUUAGAGACAUUCAAGGUCAGGCUGGUCAGGGCUCUGAGCAACCUGAUCUAGUUGUAAGUGUUGCUGUUCAUUGCAGGGAAGUUGGACUAGGUGACCCUCAAAGGUCUCUUCCAACCCCAGUGAUUCCAUGAUUCUAUGAUCCGAUCACUUCCCUUUUUUCCUUCCAGCAUAAACACUAAUUUACAGUAUUCCAUACUAACACUGCAAAGGUGGUUUUUUUUUUUUUUUUUUUUUCCUCUCUGUAUGUGAUCUCUUAUUUUUGUGCAUGUGUUAGCUCUCAUGAUUGGAAAAAUGUACUGCUUCUAGCACAGAAUUUUCAGCCUAUAAUUUUAGUUUGGAUUUCACUGCACUGAUUUCAGUGCAGUUGUUCCUGAGUUACAUAUGAAGAACAGAAAGACAGUAGCAGAGGAACACUGAUAAAAUGGUGCCUGACAUGAAGCAGAAGUAUGCAAUUAUUUCCUCCACGUGGAAAAAAAGUUGCAUCCACAUACAGUGAUGCUUGCUGAACGCAUAUGAAGACCGAACAGUGGAUGUGAGCACUGUGAGGCGGUGGGUGGUGCAUUUCAGCAACGGUGACAAUGAUGUGAAAGACAAGCCAUAUUCUGGACAUCCUUGCACAGCUGUCACACUAUGAAAUGGAGAGCAUCUUGAUCAGCUCAUCUGGGUGGUUUACUUCAGAUUGGUGAGGUGCUGAUUUUAUUUAUGUAAAUGGAAGAUGUUAUAACUCGGAAAUUGAAAGCUCAGUGAGGUAAAGUAGAAAACAAUUCUGAGUCUAUUGCUCAUGGACUUGAUCUUCAUCAUUUGGUAUAAAUGGAUGGCAAGAGAUGCAGAAUUCUCAACUCUGAACUAUUGAUCCUCUAUAGCUAUUUGUUCAGGCUCUAAAUCCCAUCUGGCUGAAAAUGCAGCUUAGGUUUUCUAUGAGCCAUAAAUUAUAAACGUUAUGCUUGUGCUCUCUGGAACACUCUCAGACUUGAUAUACUCAGGGAAUUUCUUGUUAGGACUUGAGACUAGCCAUUAUCCAAAAAAGUGUAGUAGUUAUCUUCACAUAUUUAUGAACAUUAUUCAGAAACAUACACUGUCAAAAUAUUUCUGUCAGCGUGAACAAAUGCUUGUUCUUCAUUGUUACACCACUUUCAUCUAAAAUUCUUACCUUCACAAUGCAAAAUCAUUCAGAGAAGAAACUGAGGAAAAUUCAGUAAGAGUUUUACUCAGAGGUUUUUAUGCAAUACGAAUGGUAAUGUUUACUCAACAGUGAUUGUCCCA